CCCUAGUUUCCCUCGACAGAUCGCGGCCCUCGAUGCCUUAAGAACUAGCUCUCUUUUUGGCCCUUCCUCUGUUUGAUUUUAUGCAUAUAUGGUGACAAAAAUUUCAAGAAGAUUGGAAGAAAGGGAAGAUUACUCGAAGUAGGGCAAGGGGCCCCACCAGGGAUGGGGAAAAGGCGCCUGAUGUAAUAACGAGUUUUUUGAAGGUGUGUUUGUAUUUUUGCCGCCAUUAACGGGAUAAACCAUUCCACAAUAAAUUAUUUUUUGCUGUUUAUUUGAAGAAAUAAAUAAUGAUAUCAAUUUUUAUAAUCACUCAAAUUUUACUAAAGGUAAAAAUUAUCUUUCUUAUAUGUUUAAGG
This 356-nucleotide long non-coding RNA is filed under the name Elaeis guineensis (African oil palm). Its description in RNAcentral is "long non-coding RNA (EGUI_LNC006529)". The record is from RNAcentral. Lineage: Eukaryota; Viridiplantae; Streptophyta; Magnoliopsida; Arecales; Arecaceae.